Molecule: long non-coding RNA, 378 nt
Filed under: Homo sapiens (human)
Lineage: Eukaryota; Metazoa; Chordata; Mammalia; Primates; Hominidae
Description: HSALNT0151848
Source: RNAcentral
AUGCUGGCUUGAAAUGGGAGAGAGAAAGAACUGCCACAUAAUUUGCAAGAUCUUUUUUGAAAAAGAAAAGGUAUUAAGAAUUCCAGGACAGCAUUAGGAAUGUAUUAAACCAGGAUAAGGAACAGCGGAGCUUCCCCCUAAGACCCUGGUGUGUUUCUGCAUCAGGAAACCUUCUCUCCUGCAAUGUGGUCUAGGAUGGAGCUCUAUGAGGAGAGAGACCCUACUAUUCACUUUUCUAUUUCCAGGCCACUGCAGACUGUCUCAUGGCGUUUAAGAUUGAACAACAUGGUGCCUUUGCCAGAAGUUAACAGGAAACCCAAAAGGAGAUGAGCCAGACUGGAAGAAGAUAGACAAAAACACCAGAGGAGCUGCUCCCAG